RNAcentral lists this ribosomal RNA (253 nucleotides) under uncultured bacterium. RNAcentral's name for it is "partial 16S ribosomal RNA". It matches the Rfam family "Bacterial small subunit ribosomal RNA", at positions 524 to 776 of the family's 1533-position model. The record is from RNAcentral.
GACGAACCACACAAACGUUAUUCGGAAUUACUGGGCUUAAAGGGUGCGUAGGCGGCGCGGAAAGUAGGGUGUGAAAUCCCUCGGCUCAACCGAGGAAUUGCGCCCUAAACUACCGUGCUCGAGGGAGAUAGAGGUGAGCGGAACUUAGGGUGGAGCGGUGAAAUGCGUUGAUAUCCUAAGGAACACCGGUGGCGAAAGCGGCUCACUGGAUCUCUUCUGACGCUGAGGCACGAAAGCGUGGGGAGCAAACAGG